GGGGRGUGGAAUUCACGUGUAGCAGUGAAAUGCGUAGAGAUGUGGAGGAACACCAAUGCGAAGGCAGCCCCCUGGGUCGAUACUGACGCUCAUGCAGAAAGCGUGGGGAGCAAWCAGGAUUAGAUWCCCUGGUAGUCCACGCCCUWAASGAUGGUCAACUAGGUGUUGGGUGGGUAAAACCAUUUWGUACCGGGGGCUAACGCGUGAAGUUGACCGCCUGGGGGAGUACGGCCGCAAGGUUWAAACUCAAAGGAAWUUGACGGGGACCCCGCACAAGCGGUGGAUGAUGUGGAUUAAUUCGAUGCAACGCGAAAAACCUUACCUACCCUUGACAUGUCCAGAAUCCCUGAGAGAUUUGGGGAGUGCCUUCGGGAACUGGAACACAGGUGCUGCAUGGCUGUCGUCAGCUCGUGUCGUGAGAUGUUGGGUUAAGUCCCGCAACGAGCGCAACCCUUGUCAUUAGUUGCCAUCAUUUAGUUGGGCACUCUAAUGAGACUGCCGGUGACAAACCGGAGGAAGGUGGGGAUGACGUCAAGUCCUCAUGGCCCUUAUGGGUAGGGCUUCACACGUCAUACAAUGGUCGGUACAGAGGGUUGCCAACCCGCGAGGGGGAGCUAAUCUCAGAAAGCCGAUCGUAGUCCGGAUCGCAGUCUGCAACUCGACUGCGUGAAGUCGGAAUCGCUAGUAAUCGCGGAUCAGCAUGUCGCGGUGAAUACGUUCCCGGGUCUUGUACACACCGCCCGUCACACCAUGGGAGUGGGUUCCACCAGAAGUAGGUAGCCUAACCGUAAGGAGGGCGCUUACCACGGUGGGGUUCAUGACUGGGGUGAAGUCGUAACAAGGUAAC
Molecule: ribosomal RNA, 847 nt
Filed under: uncultured bacterium
Lineage: Bacteria
Description: bacterial SSU rRNA
Rfam family: Bacterial small subunit ribosomal RNA
Source: RNAcentral